GGGUGAGUAAUGCAUCGGAACGUGCCAUUGAGUGGGGGAUAACGUAGCGAAAGCUGCGCUAAUACCGCAUAUUCUGUGAGCAGGAAAGCAGAGGACCGCAAGGCCUUGCGCUCUUUGAGCGGCCGAUGUCAGAUUAGCUAGUUGGUGAGGUAAAGGCUUACCAAGGCGACGAUCUGUAGCGGGUCUGAGAGGAUGAUCCGCCACACUGGAACUGAGACACGGUCCAGACUCCUACGGGAGGCAGCAGUGGGGAAUUUUGGACAAUGGGGGCAACCCUGAUCCAGCCAUGCCGCGUGAGUGAAGAAGGCCUUCGGGUUGUAAAGCUCUUUCGGCCGGGAAGAAAUCGCAUGGGCCAAUACCCUGUGUGGAUGACGGUACCGGAAUAAGAAGCACCGGCUAACUACGUGCCAGCAGCCGCGGUAAUACGUAGGGUGCGAGCGUUAAUCGGAAUUACUGGGCGUAAAGCGUGCGCAGGCGGUUUUGUAAGACAGGCGUGAAAUCCCCGGGCUUAACCUGGGAACUGCGUUUGUGACUGCAAGGCUAGAGUACGGCAGAGGGGGGUGGAAUUCCACGUGUAGCAGUGAAAUGCGUAGAGAUGUGGAGGAACACCAAUGGCGAAGGCAGCCCCCUGGGUCGAUACUGACGCUCAUGCACGAAAGCGUGGGUAGCAAACAGGAUUAGAUACCCUGUAGUCCACGCCCUAAACUAUGUCAACUAGGUGUUGGGUGGGUAAAACCAUUUAGUACCGUAGCUAACGCGUGAAGUUGACCGCCUGGGGAGUACGGCCGCAAGGUUAAAACUCAAAGGAAUUGACGGGGACCCGCACAAGCGGUGGAUGAUGUGGAUUAAUUCGAUGCAACGCGAAAAACCUUACCUACCCUUGACAUGCCAGGAACUUGCCAGAGAUGGCUUGGUGCCCGAAAGGGAGCCUGGACACAGGUGCUGCAUGGCUGUCGUCAGCUCGUGUCGUGAGAUGUUGGGUUAAGUCCCGCAACGAGCGCAACCCUUGUCGUUAAUUGCCAUCAUUUAGUUGGGCACUUUAACGAGACUGCCGGUGACAAACCGGAGGAAGGUGGGGAUGACGUCAAGUCCUCAUGGCCCUUAUGGGUAGGGCUUCACACGUCAUACAAUGGUCGGUACAAAGGGUUGCCAAGCCGCGAGGCGGAGCCAAUCCCAGAAAGCCGAUCGUAGUCCGGAUUGCAGGCUGCAACUCGCCUGCAUGAAGUCGGAAUCGCUAGUAAUCGUGGAUCAGCAUGUCACGGUGAAUACGUUCCCGGGUCUUGUACACACCGCCCGUCACACCAUGGGAGCGGGUUCCGCCAGAAGUAGGUAGCCUAACCGCAAGGGGGGCGCUUACCACGGCGGGGUUCGUGACUGGGGUGAAGUCGGAACAAGGUA
Molecule: ribosomal RNA, 1398 nt
Filed under: metagenome
Description: bacterial SSU rRNA
Rfam family: Bacterial small subunit ribosomal RNA
Source: RNAcentral